RNAcentral lists this RNase P RNA (332 nucleotides) under Paracholeplasma vituli. RNAcentral describes it as "RNase P RNA component class B". It matches the Rfam family "Bacterial RNase P class B". Rfam says of the family: Ribonuclease P (RNase P) is a ubiquitous endoribonuclease, found in archaea, bacteria and eukarya as well as chloroplasts and mitochondria. Its best characterised activity is the generation of mature 5'-ends of tRNAs by cleaving the 5'-leader elements of precursor-tRNAs. Cellular RNase Ps are ribonucleoproteins. Lineage: Bacteria; Bacillati; Mycoplasmatota; Mollicutes; Acholeplasmatales; Acholeplasmataceae. The record is from RNAcentral.
CAAUUGAAGGUAAUCGAGCCGGGUAACCGGUUAGGAAAGUCCAUGCUAGCACAGUCUGCGAUGACUGUAGUGUUUGUGCCUAAGGAAAGAAUAACUUAGGAUACACGAAAGUGUAAUGGCGGGUAGGGUCACUAAAGGUAACUAUGUGAUUCCCCAUAACGUGCCACAGAAACGAGUCAAUUGGAAACGAUUGAAUGAAACGCGGUAAACCCCACAAGCUAGUAACCCAAAUUUUGGUAGGGGCACCUGAAACACAUAAAUGAAUGUAGUUUCGGGCUAUCACUAGAGAUAAAUGAUUACACUCGAAAGAGAACAGAACAUGGCUUAUGCAA